AACGAACGCUUGCGGCAGGCCUAACACAUGCAAGUCGAGCGCCCGGAUUUAUCCGGGAGCGGCGCACGGGUGAGUAACACGUGGGAACAUGCCCUGAAGUACGGAACAACCGAGGGAAACUUUGGCUAAUACCGUAUACGCCCUGAGGGGGAAAGAUUUUAUCGCUUCAGGAUUUGCCCGCGUUGGAUUAGCUAGUUGGUGCGGUAACGGCGCACCAAGGGGACGAUCCAUAGCUGAUCUGAGAGGAUGAUGAGCCACACUGGGACUGAGACCCUGCCCAGACUCCUACGGGAGGCAGCAGUGGGGAAUAUUGGACAAUGGGCGCAAGCCUGAUCCAGCCAUGCCGCGUGAGUGAAGAAGGCCUUCGGGUUGUAAAGCUCUUUCAGCGGGGACGAUGAUGACGGUACCCGCAGAAGAAGCCCCGGCUAACUUCGUGCCAGAAGCCGCGGUAAGAC
Molecule: ribosomal RNA, 455 nt
Filed under: uncultured bacterium
Lineage: Bacteria
Description: bacterial SSU rRNA
Rfam family: Bacterial small subunit ribosomal RNA
Source: RNAcentral